UUUCCCCUUUUAGCUUUGCCCUCUUAAGGCUCAUGGUGCUUUAAGUGGCCAACACAGAGGGGUAUAGUAAUUCUCUCUUAAACCCAGAGGUGAGAAUGAAGCUUUCCCCUGGAUCCUGUCGGGAGAAACAGCA
Salvator merianae (Argentine black and white tegu) is the source of this 133-nucleotide small nucleolar RNA. The record is from Ensembl. Lineage: Eukaryota; Metazoa; Chordata; Lepidosauria; Squamata; Teiidae.